This is a long non-coding RNA of Ctenopharyngodon idella (grass carp), 4389 nucleotides long. RefSeq lists it as uncharacterized. The record is from RefSeq and is a predicted model, not a curated record. The transcript is spliced from 2 exons. Lineage: Eukaryota; Metazoa; Chordata; Actinopteri; Cypriniformes; Xenocyprididae.
UCCAGCCACUGUUUUGGGAUUAUCAUCGAUGCUCCCUGGUUUUCACGGUGCAUUGUGGGACUUUUUAGGAAGCGACCGUUUCAGUGCCCUGGAAGGAUUCUGCGACUGAGACAGCCCUUAAAAUGGCUGACUCCCUGGUAAGUGCCCUGACUACUGAACUAGGGAGCUGAUUGAGACACACGUCACGUUUCUGCAAGCAAGUGUCUUCUAAGACGAGUCCAGCUCUUCAUACUUCUCUUUUCUCCAGUGCGGGCGGACAGCAUAGCAGUGGGGUCGAGUCCUCUCUUUCUUUUGAUUAUUUUUCUUUUUUGCUUUAUUUAAGCAAAGCUGUAAAAGGCUGUUUUCAUGGCCGGUAACGGUGCGCUUUUGAGUGCUGAAUUGUUGUUCUCACAGCUGGUGAGAGCAGUGUCUACAAAGAGAGGAGAGCACACGACAGGCUGCACACAAUCCCUGUCUGUGUUGCCGCGGCCGUUCCCCUGCGUACUUCAGCACUUUUAAAGAGCAAGUCCCUGAAAGAGCUCACACAAGUAGAGCUUGUGUCUUUUUAAAUAUGACAUUCUACUUGUGUGUUUCUGGAUGCGGUCGUUACCUGGCACCGAGGGAUGGUCACGAUCGCUGCAUCAUGUGUCUGGUCUUAAAGCACGCUGAGGCAGCAUUUGUGGAUGAGUCAUGUACCCAUUGUGGGAAGAUGACCAUCUCAGAGUUGCGAUCGAGACUCCAGUUCCUGCAAAGGGCCGGAGUCCCAGUGUCGCUGCCUCAUUCCAAUCCUCCUCAGGGUGGAAUCCUCCACUGUGUUCCGAGCAAUCGCGGUUGGACGGUUGGUAUCUCGGGGUGGCGCGUGCUGGUUCUCAGCCACCCACCCCGGUUCCUUUCUUCCCGGAGGUGCAUGAAGAACUCAUUGGUACAUGGAUGGCACCUUUUACUGCCUGAAACCGUUCCGGUGGGUCCUCCUCCCUCACCACCCUUGAUGGCGGUGCAGCGAAGGGUUAUAUGCGCAUCCCCCCCCGGUGGAACGGGCCAUUGCUAUGCAACUGUGCCCUAACUCCCCCUGGUGGGGGGAGCCGUCUCUCCCUUCCCAGGCCUGUAAGCACUCGUCGGAUCUUACAGGCAGGGCUUACCAGGCCCGCGGGGAAGCCGCUUCUGCCUUACAUGCUAUGGCGUUGUUGCAGGUCCAUCAGGCCAAGGCACUUCAGGACCUCGCGCUUCGUACGACGAAGGUUACGCCGCGGUCGGUGAGUCGUGUGAUGUCCACUUUGGUGGUCCAGGAAUGCCAUCUCUGGCUGUGUCUGGCCGACAUGAGGGAUACUGACAAAGUCAGGUUUCUUAAUUCCCCUGUGUCCCAGACCGACCUCUUCGGCCGGUUGUAUAUUGUAUAUUAUCUUUGGGCAAAGUUCUCGGCUGUACAGAAGCAGUCUGAGGCCAUCAGCCACAUCCUGCCACAGCGGUCAGCUGCUGUGAUCACCCAUCCACUGCGUCCACCCAUCCGCUGCCGGCAGCACCUCAGCCUGCUCGUCGCCGAGGGCGCACCCCUGCGGCUGACCCCGCUCCCGCGCCACAGCAGCAGCCUCCAUCCAAGUGGCGCCGUGGAGCCGGUCGCAAGCGGGGUGCCCAGCCCGUCGAGGCUCCCGCCAAGAAGGGCGGUAAAGCCGAGAGCAAGAGGCCCUAGGAGGGCAACCCGGAGAUGGAUGGGACUGCUCUUCAGGAGAUGGUGACCGCACCACUCCUUCCCCCGGAGGAGGGCUGGGUGGUAAAUCCUUUGUUUCGUUUUGUUUCUGUUCCGCAUGGUACCCAAAUUUUCAAAAAAGAGCAGUUUCCUUCAUCUCCGGGUCCAAAAAGGGCUUGGAGAGUAGUGGGAGGAGAAAAAUCUCUCCACUCUCAUCCCCCUCUUCAGGCUUCUUCUGGAGCAUAUGCAUUGCCAUGGCUGGUUUUCGAACAAAAAAACAGAAAAUAAAAAACAGAAAACAACUCCGUCACGGCCACCUUUUUGUUUUCUCACUUAAGUCAGCUUUGUUGUCUGGCAGACUGACUUGGGUGGCCUUUCCAUCCCUUCACUUAAGUCUUAUUACGGCUGAUAUUAUAGGGAUGUUCAGUAGCGUGUUUAUCCACCACACAAAGCACGCAAUUGCAUGGGGCCCCACGGGCUUGGGGGGCCCUCGCGAUUUCUCCCCCGGGAACGCAAUCGCGGGGCCCCCUCCCGGACAUUAAUUUGUUUUGCUUGUUUUUUGCGCGCGUGCAGUGUGAUUUUUCUAUCGAAUGCUGAAUUCGGAAAUGAUUAGCUACUUUGGUACAUAAAGUGGCUGGCUGGCAGCUGGACAGAAUAGUCUGGUGCUCCCGAUGGACGGGUUAUAGAAAUUAUAGAAAAUCAUAGGUUCAGGUGGGUGGCGGAUGGUGAUUUAAUUUUAACAGGGGGGUGACGUUAGAGCUCAUCCGCACAUCACUAAUGCCAACUGGCGCCCUCUGCAGAUCAAGAAAAUCCAGUAAACAAUUAUAUUUACUAGGGGUGGGAGAAAAAAACGAUGCAUCAUGAAGCCACAUGAAGGGGGCGAAACAUCGUAUGGCAGUUUCCCAAGUCAGGUCGUCUUCAAUUCGUGAUUUUGUGGGACCUUCAUCACUUGAAAGAACAGCCUGCCAACACAUCAGGAAAGUUGGAUAUUGGGUGCGUAACAAUGACUCCUGGUGUGCUGAAAUACUAUGGACUCUGAAGAGAGCGUGACAUCACAUUACUCAAUGAAAAGUGCUGAGGACAAUUUGUUUCCCGAUAGUGCAAUUGCAAAAUCCUUCACCUGUAGUGAAAAAAAGACCUCCUACCUUGUGAAUCAUGGCCUUGCACCCUACAUUAAGAACAGUCUGUUGGACAAAGUGGAAAAACAACAGUGGCUUUGUUUUACUGUUUGACGAGUCACUCAACAAAAAGCUUCAGUUGAAACAAAUGGAUGUUCAUGUAAGGUUCUUAGAUUUGGUUACCAACAGAGUAACUAUCCACUACCUUGAUUCUGCCUUCCUGGGGCAUGGAACAGCAGAAUGUUGCCUGUCACACUUCACUUCAUUGACAGACUUAAUCUGUCUGAUUUAUUGUAAGUCUGCAUGGAUGGCCCCAAUGUCAACCUAAAAUUUUACAAGAAUUUCAAAACAAGAGUCCUGUCUGAAGUUACAGGAGUUGCUUGAUGUGGGGACAUGUUCUCUGCACAAUGUACACAAUUCAUUCAGACAUGCAAUUCAUGCAACUGGGUGGGAUAUUGGGGACAUACUCAGUGCCUUCCAUACUCAGAUUUUGUCAGUAUCACAGGAUCAACAAUCUUUCCAAAGAAGUUCUGUCCCCAUCAGUGGGUUGAAAAUGUUGCCACACGAGCAUUGGAAGUAAUCCCUCAUUUGAUAAAAUUUGUAAAAACAGUUGAGGGGGACAAGCGGUUCACUACACCCAAAUGCAAGAAAUUUUUAGCAGUGAAAGCAGCAUGUAAUGAUAAACUCUUACCAGCCAAGCUACAUUUUUUCAUUUUUGUAGCUAAACAUGUGCAGUCCUAUCUGCAGAAGUACCAGACAGACAGUCCUAUGGUCCCUUUCUUGACAAAAGAUUGGACAGAGAUGGUUUGUAAUAUUAUGUCCACAGUCCUGAAACCCAGCGUGAUUGAAUCUAUGAAAGACCCUGUCACAAAUGCAAAAUACACAGUCACAGAUGAAGACACACUAAGCACGUCAAAAGUAGAUGUGGGUUUUUUAACUGCCAGGGCUUUGAAACUCCAAGCCGGAAAGGUUGGUAAAAGGAGUUUUUGGGAAUUUUCCUCAGAUGCCAAGAAAUGCCAGAUUGAGCUACUGAAAUGACUUCUGGAUAAAUCACCUGUCCAGUCCAGCUUUGUACCACAGACUUCCUGUCUUAACCCUCAGUUAGUGGAAAACAGUCUUGAAGUGUGUGUAAAAAAGUUUACAAGACUUCUGAAUCACUUGUUGGAUCUGAAAAGAUGCACAGAGCCCAAAUGUGAAGAUGAUCUCAGGCAAUACAAAGCUUUUGUUGACAUACCUGCAAAUUCGAAAGUGGUGAAAAAGGUGAUAUGUUAACAAAGUAAAUAGUAAAUAAACAUUUAUUGACACUAGGGCUGGGCAUUGAUACAAAUUUCACAAUUGGAUUCGAUAUUGAUUCAGAAGCUUGCGAUUUGAUUUUGAUUUGAUUACCUUCAAUUCAAUAAUGAUUAAUUUGGGGCCUAUCAGGUACAGUACAUGACAAAUUUCCUCAAAGAAAAAAAUCUCUCAACUAAUUCUGUAAACUAUACAGGGAACCACAGCUGGUACAUCAUUAUAAUAUUAAAUAUUAAAAUGUAUUGAUUUGUAAGCUACUUAAAUUACACAUAAAGACAUUUUUAUAAUAACAUUAUAAUAAAUUUUUUAAUGACAUAA